This 253-nucleotide ribosomal RNA is filed under the name uncultured bacterium. RNAcentral describes it as "partial 16S ribosomal RNA". It matches the Rfam family "Bacterial small subunit ribosomal RNA", at positions 524 to 776 of the family's 1533-position model. The record is from RNAcentral.
UACGUAGGGUGCGAGCGUUGUCCGGAAUUACUGGGCGUAAAGAGCUCGUAGGUGGUUUGUCGCGUUGUUCGUGAAAACUCACAACUCAAUUGUGGGCGUGCGGGCGAUACGGGCAGACUGGAGUACUGCAGGGGAGACUGGAAUUCCUGGUGUAGCGGUGGAAUGCGCAGAUAUCAGGAGGAACACCGGUGGCGAAGGCGGGUCACUGGCCCGAUACUGACGCUGAGGUGCGAAAGCGUGGGGAGCAAACAGG